RNAcentral lists this transfer RNA (74 nucleotides) under Flavobacterium lindanitolerans. RNAcentral's name for it is "tRNA-Ile". It matches the Rfam family "tRNA". From Rfam's summary of the family: Transfer RNA (tRNA) molecules are approximately 80 nucleotides in length. Their secondary structure includes four short double-helical elements and three loops (D, anti-codon, and T loops). Lineage: Bacteria; Pseudomonadati; Bacteroidota; Flavobacteriia; Flavobacteriales; Flavobacteriaceae. The record is from RNAcentral.
GGUCCUAUAGCUCAGUUGGUUAGAGCACCUGACUCAUAAUCAGGUGGUCCCCGGUUCGAGCCUGGGUGGGACCA